ACUAAAAACUUCUUGGGCGAC
This 21-nucleotide non-coding RNA is filed under the name Arabidopsis thaliana (thale cress). Lineage: Eukaryota; Viridiplantae; Streptophyta; Magnoliopsida; Brassicales; Brassicaceae. The record is from RNAcentral.